UGGGGAAUCUUGCACAAUGGAGGAAACUCUGAUGCAGCGACGCCGCGUGAGCGAAGAAGCCUUUCGGGGUGUAAAGCUCUUUCGACCGGAACGAUAAUGACGGUACCGGGAGAAGAAGCUGCGGCUAACUACGUGCCAGCAGCCGCGGUAAUACGUAGGUAGCAAGCGUUGUUCGGAGUUACUGGGCGUAAAGAGUGCGUAGGCGGUUUUCUAAGUUCGGUGUGAAAGCUCCCGGCUUAACUGGGAGGGUGCGCCGAAGACUGGGAAGCUGGAGUGUGGGAAAGGCAGGCGGAAUUCCUGGUGUAGCGGUGAAAUGCGUAGAUAUCAGGAGGAACACCGGCGGUGUAGACGGCUUGCUAGACCAUAACUGACGCUGAGGCACGAAAGCGUGGGUA
This 395-nucleotide ribosomal RNA is filed under the name uncultured bacterium. Its description in RNAcentral is "bacterial SSU rRNA". It matches the Rfam family "Bacterial small subunit ribosomal RNA", at positions 355 to 767 of the family's 1533-position model. The record is from RNAcentral.